RNAcentral lists this long non-coding RNA (280 nucleotides) under Chinchilla lanigera (long-tailed chinchilla). Its description in RNAcentral is "lncRNA (ENSCLAG00000027205.1)". Lineage: Eukaryota; Metazoa; Chordata; Mammalia; Rodentia; Chinchillidae. The record is from RNAcentral.
CUUGACUGCUUGAGGCACUCUGGCUCUGUCCCGCCCUCACAUGUGCCACCCAUAUCCAGCUCCAGCGGUUUCCAACACUUGUACUUCAAGGGUCCUUGAUGCCAGCCUGUCCUUUGAUUCCGGGUGCCACUGGUUUCUCAAGCUGCUGAUGUCCACGCGGGGAGAAGGGUUAUCUGCUGACUCCCCAGCACCUACUACAGAAUCUUCUGAACACAGCCUCCAGAAAUACAAGGAUGAUGAUGAUGAUAAUAACAACAAUAACAGUAAUAAUGCUGUUUGA